Molecule: ribosomal RNA, 862 nt
Filed under: uncultured bacterium
Lineage: Bacteria
Description: bacterial SSU rRNA
Rfam family: Bacterial small subunit ribosomal RNA
Source: RNAcentral
CAAGUCGUGGGGCAGCAUGAAGUAGCAAUACUUUGAUGGCGACCGGCAAACGGGUGCGGAACACGUACACAACCUUCCUUUUAGUGGGGAAUAGCCCAGAGAAAUUUGGAUUAAUACCCCGUAACAUAGCGAUGUGGCAUCACAUUGCUAUUAUAGCUUCGGCGCUAGAUGAUGGGUGUGCGUAUGAUUAGAUAGUUGGCGAGGUAACGGCUCACCAAGUCUACGAUCAUUAGCUGAUGUGAGAGCAUGAUCAGCCACACGGGCACUGAGACACGGGCCCGACUCCUACGGGAGGCAGCAGUAAGGAAUAUUGGUCAAUGGACGAAAGUCUGAACCAGCCAUGCCGCGUGAAGGAUUAAGGUCCUCUGGAUUGUAAACUUCUUUUAUAUGGGACGAAAAAAGGUCUUUCUAGAUCACUUGACGGUACCAUAUGAAUAAGCACCGGCUAACUCCGUGCCAGCAGCCGCGGUAAUACGGAGGGUGCAAGCGUUAUCCGGAUUCACUGGGUUUAAAGGGUGCGUAGGCGGGCAGGUAAGUCAGUGGUGAAAUCCUGGAGCUCAACUCCAGAACUGCCAUUGAUACUAUCUGUCUUGAAUAUUGUGGAGGUAAGCGGAAUAUGUCAUGUAGCGGUGAAAUGCUUAGAUAUGACAUAGAACACCCAUUGCGAAGGCAGCUUACUACGCAUAUAUUGACGCUGAGGCACGAAAGCGUGGGGAUCAAACAGGAUUAGAUACCCUGGUAGUCCACGCCCUAAACGAUGGAUACUCGACAUACGCGAUACACUGUGUGUGUCUGAGCGAAAGCAUUAAGUAUCCCACCUGGGAAGUACGUUCGCAAGAAUGAAACUCAAGGAAUUGGCGGG